GUGACUUUUUUCUCUCCAGCUGGAAUUUCUGGCCCUUCUGCCUUUGUUAGGACUGUCCCUUGUUGUGGGGGUUCUUUUUAUCCAGUUUUCAGUUUUCUAUACAGGGUAAUUUUCCCAAAAAUAAUUGUAACCUGGUUGCGUUCAUGGGAGGAGAUGAGUUCAGAGUCUGCUUACACCGCCAUCUUGACAAGAUCCGCCACUUCUACACUUCUGUUACUUCUGUUUUCAUUUUCUCCCUCCUUUGGUACAGAGCCCAUCUGGGGACCCUGUUGAGGUCAUCUGUCUCAUGGGGGUUGUGAGGAUUAAAUGUGGAGUGCUUCCAACAGUCCUUGGCACACAGUAGGUGUUCAAGUUUGGUAGUUAUUGUCAUGACCACCACCCCCAUCAUCCUCAAACCAUCACCAUCGCCAUCACCGUCAUCAUCAUCAUGACCUCGUGCUGUCACUCCUACAGUCUGAUAGUUAGGACUCUUCAGAUUGGAUACACUAGAUUUAUGCCUAAGAAUUCCCCUUGUUUCAGCAGAUAUCUGUUGAGUGCUUACCAUGAUAGCUAAAUUCUCCCCACUCCCCAUUGUCUCGUCUCCUUAUCUUCCCAUCAUGCUGUGACCCUAAGUCAGCUCUCCACUCUUAAUUUUUUUAACAAUGACCCCCCAAAGCCUCACAGUGUCCUUGAAAUUACCACUCCAUAGUCGCCAGCCUCCUCUAUUUCCUCAGCCUCUUCUUAGCCCUUCCCUCCCUCUCUUUGCCUUGGCCCUGGCCCUGCCUACGGAAUAUCCUUUUCUUGAAGCCCUGUCAAGUGGUGCCUGCAGAUCUCAGGAUUAGGGGGUACGAGAUUUAUGUCCUCUCUGCUCUUUGUCCUCCCACACCAUUUCUUUGAGAUCUAUAGUCCCCAGCUGGAGCACCCUCUCCUCCUCAUUACUCUUUUCUGCCUAAUUAGUCCCCUAUUUCAUUGAAGACUUGAUCGCCUGGCCCACAGCUUUCCUCUCUGCCUCAAUUCUGGGUGUCAUCCUAGUUGACUUCAGUGUGCAUGCGGAGGACUGAGCCUGCACACGGGGUACUCAUUUUCUUCAAUACCUCAUCUGUACUGCUGACCUCUUCUCAUCCACCUGUCCCCAUUCCCACCAUAAUACCCUGGAUUUGCAUCCUGAUGCUGCCCCACCUCACAAAUGAGCAGUGCAGCACCCUCCAGCCCUGAUCUCUUCUUUCCAGCUUGCUUGGUCACUUAAUUCAGCUGUGCCCUCAGCAUAUUUUUCCUCAGGCCCUCCAUGGUGUACUCUAUCCUUUAGAUGCUUCCUCUAUGCUGUUACCUCUCAGCUGAGCUUGGACUUCAUAGUCCAUCCAUGAUUAAUUCUCUUGGCAAUGCCUUCCUCUCCCUUGCCCUUUAGUCCCAGUAAACCCAAAACCAAACUACCCAUUUUUGUCUUGAGUACCGGAGAUAGGACUCAGAGCAGGGCAGCUGGGUACUACUUUGAGUUCAUGUCACCCCACCUCCCCUGUGCCCUCACAGAGCCUGACCAUUCUAGUAGGAUUCUCUUGUCAAGUCACUCUCCCAUGCUCCAGAAUAUUUAAUUCAGACGUUUUCCACAAACUUGUGAUUUACUCCCCCAACCCUUCAUUCUCAAGAUAAUAUGGGUGAUGUUUUGAGUAUGCUUAACAUAGAAAAUAGAAGCCUUCAGAUUGGAACUCCAUUCACUUCCUCCAAGAAACUUAACCAACCUAUCCUACUGUUAGAGUUGCAAUGCCCUCCAGCAAAGACCACCAGAAAUACAUCAGUAGGUAAACCAGUUGGGUUUAAUUACUCUUUGUAAUGAGGGAGGCCUCACAUCAUGGGGAACUCUGGAGCCUAUCAGGAUGAGGGCAUUAGAAAGAACUUACAGGAUUUGGACUUUGGUUGGAUAGUUUGGGGAAGGUUCAAGGAAACAGGGAUUUGCUCUGGACUGGGUGCUGACAGGAGGCAGGGACGAUUCUGUGAUUGUGUAGCUCAAUCAAUCCUUUCUAGAAGGAGUUGUGACUAGAGUGAGACAAACGCUGUAAUUCAUAAAGAAGCCACAGUUGCUCGCUUCAGGCAGGAGAGAGGGAUGUUUGGUAUUUUCUGGAUGGCACGACGGCCUUGUGUUUGUCUGUUUAGGCAAAAUGAUGAAGUGGUCUUGUUUUGUCUCACAUCAUUGCUGUUGCAGCAUGACCUUGUGCUGGUGUCUGUGAGAAGUUUAUGUCCAACAGGUGACCGGCAUGGCUUGUGUGAGCACGAGGCCGGCUUCUAACAGGAAAGCCUAGCUCAUGGUACCGGACCAGCUCCUGGAUGUCAGCACUGCUUUUCUUCUUUUCACAGAGGAGGAAAUAUGGAUCCCUCAAGGAGGCCUUUCUGACACCUGCAGUCAAGAUCUUGCCCCUGUUAUAUGUCCUCAUGACAGUCUCUGCAUUGCCUUGGUGGUCAUCAGCUCAGUUGUAAUUCAGACAUACUGUUUCGUGCUUUUCUGUCUAAAAGUUCUUGGUCAGCCCUAAGAAUCUCCGUGGCCUCUCGAGGAACCCGAGGCUGCAGUUCCCCGAGAGCAUAGCGGUGACCCUGCGUCCCUCUCAGCGCACCUUCCAGCUCUGAGAAGGUCAGAAACGUGUGGGCGGGGCCCCAGGAGUUCUCCCAGGAGGGUGUCCCUGUCCGCAGUCCACCGCCAGAGGGGGCUACAAUCUUAAAUGGGGUGGUCAGGGAAGGCCUUUCUGAGAUGGAGACAUUUGAGCAGAGACUCAGUGGAGUGAGGCAACGAGUCACACAGAUAUCUGGCAGAACACUCCAGAUAUAGGGAAUGCACUUGACACUUAGUAAGUGCUCAAUAAACACCAGCUCACAAUAAUGAGAAAG
RNAcentral lists this long non-coding RNA (2853 nucleotides) under Equus caballus (horse). Its description in RNAcentral is "lncRNA (ENSECAG00000059036.1)". The record is from RNAcentral. Lineage: Eukaryota; Metazoa; Chordata; Mammalia; Perissodactyla; Equidae.